Molecule: long non-coding RNA, 4548 nt
Organism: Scylla paramamosain (green mud crab)
Lineage: Eukaryota; Metazoa; Arthropoda; Malacostraca; Decapoda; Portunidae
Exons: 3
Source: RefSeq, a predicted model, not a curated record
GCCUUGAUAUCAAAGCGUGCAUCAUCACCCAAACACGUCAUUCCCGAUGCUAUAAAAACUGUGAGAGAUAGAAGAGCCUCGUUUGUCACUCCUACACAGCUCAAGCGACGCCUUCCUCGUGUGUGCCUCCAAGGUGACCCUAUCGUGCAGUGAACCAGCGGAGGCCGUAGGUCGACACCUCUGGGACGCCUCAAGUUUAUCGGAACGAGAAGAGCGGAAGAGUUAGGACAGCCGGGCCCAUCUCUCUUCCCCACCACCACCACCACCACCACCGCCACCACUAUGACCAAGCAAACAAAGGAGGUCGUUAGUGCCACAGAAAGAGGUCACCGCCGAGGAGGGACCGUCACCCCUGCACCAGUUGCCUCAACACGGUCUGGAUAUUAAGUUGGUGACAGUCCGGACGCUUUAACUAAAUCACCUAAAUAAUAAUAAUAAUAAUAAUAAUAAUAAUAAUAAUAAUAAUAAUAAUAAUGCUGUUUUAUCCUUCAAAAUAAUCCUAGUGCUAGUUUCCCAGCAAUGAACUUCAGUACACUAACUAACUGGAUAACCAAACAAAAUAAUAAUAAAAUUUACUAUGAAUGUUCAAUAUCAUCUGGUUUUCUUAUUUACCUUAAUUCACGAUCCAUCCAUCAUCAUCUGGCUCCUGCGUUACUUCCACUUGCUCUCCUUCAACCUCAAUAUCUUGACGUGUUUAUUUCCUUUUUUUUUUUUUUUUUCCACCGUAUUUUCAGUCACCGUGGAAUUGAAGGUAUUUUUGACACAACAACCCUCCUCUCGGACAGCAGCAGCGAUACUAUUGCCUAAUGAAUACUCACUGCAGUGCUGCCAAAUGCUGCCCAGUGUUACUCAAUCAUUAGUUCGCACAAUGGAUUAAUAUUAUUCAUGAACAAAUAAAUAAAUUAGUGUUUUAGGGCAUUUACAGUGAUAUUAAUUGAUAAAUUAUUGAAAUAAUAAUUAGAUAACGUUAUAUCAUGAAAAUUAUCCUGUCAGUCUGAAAAUUCAAAACAAUUUCAGUAAAUCUACCGAUAUUUCAGAUGUGGCUACGCUGCUCCCGGUCUGCCAAUACUACCAUCGCCACAUGAAAGCUUCACGACCUCCCAUCGCAGCAGCUCGGAGCCUCGCCACUCACCCCGGCGCCAGUGAGACGGUGCAUGCGAAGCGAGAUAGCCCAGCAGAGCCCUCUAUUGGUCUGAUUUCUUUGCUCUGGCCCUAAUGGAGAGUGAUCAAGCACGUGCUGGGAAGGAGGGGAGGAAACAAAGAAAAAUAAGACGCAUUCACUUGGCAACGUGAAAUAUGAGAAUAUGUGAACGUUCGAAGGAUUUAAUUAAGUUUCAUUCUCGUUUUAUCGAAAUCAUAUGAAUUUCGUGGGGCAGCUAAGUCUGUUAUAACUCAUAGAUUCCUCGCAGUUCUGAAUUUGAUGCAUAACAGGGCAAAAUAAAUGGCAGUGAUGAUGUAGUUACGAGUUCACGAGUAAUGAUGGAAUCUACGGCGCUCAGGAGUCUUACCACAUCUCAUGGGAAGAAAAAACACUGCCCUGGAGCAAAACAAACACAUAAGUCGUCAGUCUGUUACGAGGCAGCGGUGGCGGCGGCGGCGGCGGUGGUGGUGGCGGUAGUGGUGGAGACAGUAAGUCACUGUUGCUUGGUGUGAAUAUAGUUAACAAAAUAAGAGUACAGAUUAUAAUGAUAAGGAGGACGAGGACACGGAGAACGAGGAGAUCGACCUUCACUACAGCCUCAAAUAAAAAAGCCAAGAACCGGGGUGGGUAAAAAUAACCGUGAAAAAGGCCCUUCCUCCUCCACUUCCUCCUCCUGGAGGAGGAGGAAGAGGAGGAGGAAGAAAAGGAGGAGAAAGAGGAGGAGGAAGAGGAGGAAGAGGGAGGGAAGGAGGACGUUCAGGCCUGCAACACCACAGUAGGCAGGCUGGCGCUGUUCGGGGAGUCACCUGGCUCACUGAAGGGGGAGGGCGUUCGGAAGGUAAUAUCAAGCUUUUCUCUCUUCCUAAUGCAAGAAAUAAGCUAUUUCCUUAUCGUAGUAUUAAAUCUAAGCUUCCUUUCUUCUGGUGACCUAAAAUACUUAAAACACUUUAAUAAGAGCUAAGAUCAUUUUAAAAUAAUUUAAGCUUUUUUCCGGGCCUUAUUACUGUAUUUAAACUUUCUCCUUCCAUCCACAAACCUACAAUACUCAAGACAACAUUAAAACAGCCUUAAAACACCUACAAACACUUAAAACUGCCUUGAAACACUAAAAAAUGGAUUCUCACCUCGUAUCUCGAAGCCUCAGCUCAAAUAUUCAAUGAAGGAUGGUCUCGCUCUCUCUCUCUCUCUCUCUCUCUCUCUCUCUCUCUCUCUCUCUCUCUCAGUAGUUGCACUUUAUAAAACACAUUAUAAACAAAAAAAGUCCUGCACUUUCUGAGUCCCUAGGAAGGAGAGAGCGCAAAACUCACCCAAACACACCCAAAACACACUCAAAACAUCCAAAACACACUCAAAACAUCCAAAACACACUCAAAACACUCUCAAGAUCCCAAAAUACCCACAAAACUCACUCAUCAACACUCCAAAACACACCUAAAACGCACCAAAAUACCUGCAAAACUCAAACAAACACACUCAAAACAUCCAAAACACACUCAAAACACUCUCAAUACACCAAAAUACCCACAAAACUCACUCAAACACACUCAAAACACCCAAAACACAUCCAAAACACCCCAAAAUACCCACAAAACUCAUCCAAACACACGCAAAACACGCUUAAAUCAUCCAAAACACCCAUAUCACCACAGAAUACGGCCUGCACGCACCCAAACGCACCCAGAACAUCCCCACACACACUCAAAUACACCCAAAAGACCCUGCACACACCCAAACUCAGCCAAAAUACUUAAAACACCCAAAAUAUACCCAAGACACAAUUUCAUCACCUAUAUAUACACCCAAACACACCAAAGCACUCCACUAUGCACUCAAAACAUUCCACAACACUCAAAACACGUAAAAUACGCUUAAAAGCAACCUAACUACACUUAAACAUCCUAAAUUCACCCAAAAUACACUGAUAACAGCUAAUAUACACCCAAAACACACCUAAGACACACUCAAAACACCCACAACACUCUUAAAUACACCCAACAUAUACUUAAAUCACCCAAAACACACCAGAUAUUACAAAGAAUGGCAGCGCAGGAAGGGAAACUAAGCUAAAGAUUGUCUUCUUAACGUUUAUAUGUUUUGCUUCCUCCUACUUUUACUCCGUUUUUCCUUAUUUCUUCCUCCUCCUCCUCCAUUUCUCUUAUUUUCCUCCUUCUACUACUAAUAUCUACGUACCUGAGUUUAUAAACAGCUGGAAAUACCUGGAAAACACUGGAAAUUACUGUAAAUAUUGACCAAGAGACACUGGUGCCGGGCAACUCCCCAACCGUUGAUGACGUCACAGGCCCAGCCACUGGCCUACGUACGUAACGUAUUUUAUUUUAAAAUUGACCCCUAGAAAAAAUGAAGCUAGGCUGGAAUGCAUUAUAUUUUCUGAAUUGACAAUUACUUUAAUUAAUAUUCACAAUAUCAAAACAUCUCCAGCCUGAGUAGUUGUAAAGAAAUAUGAACAGAAAUAUGGAAAAAGUGUUGGAACCUUUGACACCAUUAAAACCAUUCAAAAGUCCGCCCAUUUCACUUUGCACCAUUAAAAAAACAUUUUAAAAAAUCUGAACUAUUUUUUCAAACAAUGCAAAGUUAGUUACAAGAUGAAAUAGAAAAAUAAAGAAUGUAAAAAAUGGCCAAAUCACCACUUUUAACGGGAUUAAAAACCAUUGCAAAAUGCACAUACUCAACUCAGCAGGAACGCAAAACAUUAUAAAAAUCAUAAACGAUUUUUUAAAGUAAUAAAAGCUUCACUACAGCCUCAAAUAAAAAAGCCAAGAACCGAGGGGGGGUAAAAAUAACCGUGAAAACGGCCCUAUAUUUACGUUAAAAAACUGCAGAAAAUUCAGUCCAUUUACUUCACUGAAGCAAGAAAAACACUUCAACAGCAACGAAAUAUUUUUACAAACCAUAAAAACUUACUAUAAAAGCCAAAUAAAUUAAUUAAGGAAAAUAUAGAAAAAAUAUUGGAACCCACAGGCCGGAACAGAUCCUCGGCCCCGACCUCAGUGGAGGAGCCGGCGGCCAUGUUGCCUUAUUUAUUGCUUCAUGACACCAAAACUAGGCAAUGGCGGAUAUAUCUCACCAGCGGAUAUGAACGCUAGACAAGUGACUCUAUCUUGUGACAUGUUAGCCUUACAAUAACCGAGAGACGAAGCAAAUAAUGACUGAAUACACUGACGACCUGCCUGUACCUCCGCUGACGGCUUGUUUACAUAUUGACGAUUCUUCAAUAUUCGCAUAAAUUUCCAGCUGUUUCCAGACUCAGACGUAAACAAAACCUAAAAAUAAAUAAAUAACCCCAUAAAAUACCUAAAUACCGAACAAAAACUUUAAUAAACCGCUACUAGACACUACAGGGAGCAUGAAGGUGGUGCUGGGAAGGCAGUAAGGCUGAUUGAGGGUAG